GGUACAGCCAUAGAGUUCAGAAAACCAGGAUCCAGUGAUCUUGGAUAAAGGAAGCCAGAUGUCAUGUGUGGCGAGGCAGCCUAGAGAGAGGUCCCUAUGGUGAGAAACUGGGGCCCCGCUAACAGCCACCUAAGUGAGCUUGGAAGUGGAUCCUCUAGCACCUUAGGACUGCAGCCCUGGCCAGUAGUUUGACUGUCUCCUCAUGAGAGAACCUAUGCCAGAAUCACCAACUAAGCCUUUCCCAAAUUCCUGACCCACAGAAACUGUGAACUGGCCAUCUUGCCUGUUUUCAUAAAAGUCUGAAAUACGGAGGAGACCCUGAUUUAUAUUUUCCAUAGAAGAGAAGAGAGAUUGAGAUGACUCUCUUGCAGUGAGGUAUGGCGUGUCCUCUCCAUGACAAUGUGAGGGAAAGUGAUGUAUGCCACUUCCAGGUUCUAUGGAACCCUGGAAUGAAGAGGAUGCCAACCUUGAAAAGCUAUUCUAGUUCUUUCAAUGUGCCAUAAUGGUAUAGGAGCAAAUGUUUCUGCUGAGGUGAGGACACCAUGUUCCUCUACUGUUGUGGAUGCAGCCCUCACCAGACGACCGAACCUGCCAGUGCCUUGUUCUUGGACUUCCUAGCCUUCAGAACUGCCAGAAUCCUGCUAGGACAUCUCUGCCUGUGGAAGGAGGGCUGGAUGGCAUACUGGGAAUGGCUUUCUAGGAUGACUUCCUGUUGCUACAGACUACAAGAAGCAUUUCUGGCCUUGAUGUUGUCUGAAUGAAGAAGACAUAGGAGUUUCACCAAAGUAAUGAAAGCUGGCUGAGCAAAAACCCAGAGCAUAAUUUCUCACUGGCUGGCUGCUCCAGAUAGUAAUAGCUUCAGUGCCCUUCAGAGUGGAAUUUUCCUGAGCCUGUGAAGAUGUGUGAGGUGUACCCAGCAGGGCAUGAGAGCCACCACCGAGGAAGAAAAGAGAAAACUGCCUCUUCAUUCAUGCGUUUAUCUGGAAAGGGUGACCACUGCCAAUUCCGUCGUGUGACAGGAUCUAGUGUCUCUGCACAGCAUAAACAGAAACAGUCAAGGGGGAGAGGUGGAAUACAACCCGAGGCCGCAGGGUGGUAUGGUGUGGUUGUCACCGAAGUGCAGGCAUCCUUAACCAAAGGACAGGCCACACUGGUGGGCUGGAGAGGACUGCAGGCAGGGUGGAUUUAAAAUUAUGUUUUAAAUUACAUCCUCUUUUCAAUUCUUUUAAUCCUCAGAAGAAUCAAGGCAAGCCUCAGUUAAUCAGUAGCAUGGUUCAUGGUUUUAAUGGUUCUCUGGUAUUUGCCAAUCUUCCUUUUUUUUUUUUUUUUUUUUUUUGAGAUGGAGUCUUGCUCUGUCACCCAGGCUGGAGCGCAGUGGUGCAAUAUCGGCUCACUGCAACCUUGGCCUCCAAGGUUCAAACGAUUCUCCUGCCUCAUCCUCCAGAGUAUCUAGGACUACAGGUGCAUGCCACCAUGCCUGGCUAAUUUUUGUAUUUUUAGUAGAGAUGGGGGUUUCACCAUGUUGGCCAGGCUGGUCUUGAACUCCUGACCUCAAGUGAUCCACCCGCCUCGGCCUCCCAACAAUCUUCCCUUUUGACAAAGAAGCAGCAGGAUCCCCAGGCUUAGAGCCCCAGGUGGCUAACAUUAUCUAGUUAGAAUUUAGUAAUAGGACAUCCCCUGCCUUGUCUAAAUCCAUCUGGCCCUUCCCCUCUGGGGGGUUCAGAUAGGGAGGAUUGGGACCUUCUAUAAAUUUGCUUCUUGAAUAAACUUGACUGAAAACGUUAGUUUUAAGAGAAGGUUAAUAAUAGCACAGAUGGAAAGGGGAGGCAGAAGGAAAAUGGAUCUGUGACAGGCUGUACAAAUAAAUGACCCUCAGGAAACACUGGUGGGGUCUCUCCAGAAUCUGGACUAGAAGUCGGAAACCCCGGUCAAGGUUCCCAGUGCUGGUGGGCUCCUCCUGUCUCUAGACUAUCACAAUAACUGUUGGGGUCUCCACCUAACAAUCUUUAAAUUUCUUUUCAGGUCUGAAAUACUACAUUUCCAUGACAAUAUUUCUAAAAUACAACCCCUUCCCGGAAGACUGAUCAUAUCUGGUUAUUGACAAG
Molecule: long non-coding RNA, 2105 nt
Filed under: Homo sapiens (human)
Lineage: Eukaryota; Metazoa; Chordata; Mammalia; Primates; Hominidae
Description: HSALNT0047559
Source: RNAcentral